AUGAAAUCCACCGCCGGCCGGCAAGCCACGUGGCAGCAAUUCUCGUCUGCGCAUUCAGAAACUCCUUUAGGCGGCGGUCUCACUCUGCUGCUGUAAACAUAAGCCAAAACAGUCACAACCGAAUCGAAACCGACUUCGUAAUCCUUGGCAAUCUCCUUAAGCUCGAGCUUCACGGCGGCGGUGUUGUUGGAGUCUUUCUCCUUCUUAGCGGCGG
This is a long non-coding RNA of Arabidopsis thaliana (thale cress), 214 nucleotides long. RefSeq annotates it as other RNA. The transcript has a single exon. Lineage: Eukaryota; Viridiplantae; Streptophyta; Magnoliopsida; Brassicales; Brassicaceae. The record is from RefSeq.